UUUUGCCUACGGGGCGCAGCAGUGAGGAAUAUUGGUCAAUGGGCGAGAGCCUGAACCAGCCAAGUCGCGUGAGGGAGUACUGCCCUAUGGGUUGUAAACCUCUUUUGUCGGGGAGCAAAAGCCGGACGUGUCCGGCUGUGAGAGUACCCGAAGAAAAAGCAUCGGCUAACUCCGUGCCAGCAGCCGCGGUAAUACGGAGGAUCCGAGCGUUAUCCGGAUUUAUUGGGUUUAAAGGGAGCGUAGGUGGAUUGUUAAGUCAGUUGUGAAAGUUUGCGGCUCAACCGUAAAAUUGCAGUUGAAACUGG
RNAcentral lists this ribosomal RNA (305 nucleotides) under uncultured bacterium. RNAcentral describes it as "bacterial SSU rRNA". It matches the Rfam family "Bacterial small subunit ribosomal RNA", at positions 333 to 636 of the family's 1533-position model. The record is from RNAcentral.